RNAcentral lists this ribosomal RNA (472 nucleotides) under uncultured bacterium. Its description in RNAcentral is "partial 16S ribosomal RNA". It matches the Rfam family "Bacterial small subunit ribosomal RNA", at positions 28 to 507 of the family's 1533-position model. The record is from RNAcentral.
GAUGAACGCUGGCGGCGUGCCUAAUACAUGCAAGUCGAGCGAACAGACGAGGAGCUUGCUCCUCUGACGUUAGCGGCGGACGGGUGAGUAACACGUGGAUAACCUACCUAUAAGACUGGGAUAACUUCGGGAAACCGGAGCUAAUACCGGAUAAUAUAUUGAACCGCAUGGUUCACUAGUGAAAGACGGUUUUGCUGUCGCUUAUAGAUGGAUCGGCGCAGGAUUAGCUAGUUGGUAGGGUAACGGCUUACCAAGGCGACGACCGGUAGCCGACCUGAGAGGAUGAUCAGCCACACUGGGAGUGAGACACGGCCCAGAAUCCUGCGGGAGGCAGCAGGGGGGAAUAUUGGAAAAUGGGCGAAAGCAUGAUCCAGCAAUGCCGCGUGAGUGAUGAAGGCCUUAGGGUUGUAAAGCUCUUUUACACGGGAUGAUAAUGACAGUACCGGGAGAAUAAGCUCCGGCUAACUCCGUG